This is a long non-coding RNA of Mustela lutreola (European mink), 1617 nucleotides long. RefSeq lists it as uncharacterized. The record is from RefSeq and is a predicted model, not a curated record. Lineage: Eukaryota; Metazoa; Chordata; Mammalia; Carnivora; Mustelidae. The transcript is spliced from 2 exons.
CUGCCAGCUGCAACAGACAAAUCGCCGAGGCAGGGGAGACGUUCAGGGCAUGGGGAUGCUGAAGCUUGGGGUCCCCAUUCCCGAGCCCAGCCCGAGCGCCGCCUGAGCGUGGCGCAGUUACUUUGGGACAAGCAAGGCACAGUGACUUUGGAGAAUGAAGUAUUUAUGGCAUCCUUAUAUGGAUAAGGCCCAGUGUUGCCUAUAUUCUAUAAGGAGAGCAGGAAGUCACACCCUGGGCCCUGGCCGCUGGAACUGGAGACCCCAGAAAAUCCCCAUGCAGCAGCCACAGCUGUCAAGCCAGAAGUAAGAGCUCAGCACAAACAGGAAUUCAGUUGAAGGGGGCUUUCCUUACUUGCAAUUGUUUGUGCCUAGAUAAUAGGGUAUGGGGACCUGGGCAAGUUACUUAACCUCUUUCCCAUCGCCAGAUGAAAAUAAUAAUGUUGACCACACCAGUUAUCAUGGGGAUGAUGAGCCUGCUGAACAAUGACAAGUGAACUUGAAGAUGAAAACAGUGAAACUGUCAAAAAUAUGUGCCCAUUUAAGGUCAUAGUUCUAGAAGUAUGUGGUAGCUUAAGAUCUCACCUGUAAAACUUCUCUUAGCAGAUCUUUGAGUUGGUGGCUUGGUCACACACAUUUGGUUGAUAUUCAUCCAAGAUGUAAAUUUGCUUAGCACCACCUGUGUACUAGUUUGCUCAUGACUGAACCUGGCUCCUUGGUGAGAAAGGCAGAUUUUUUUCCUUCACUCAGCAGAUAAUCUACAGGGGAACUUGACUUGAAAAAAAUAAUGACCCACUUGUUAAGUGCCAAGAAGAAGGAAUACUGGAUGCUUGCUUGCUUACUUGAUCUAGGUUGUGACUGAUCAGGGAAGGCAUCUGCCUUCAGCUCAGGUUGUGAUCCCAGCAUCCUGGGAUCGAAUCCUGCCUGGAAAUCCCUACUCAGCAGGGAGUCUGCUUCUCCCACUGCCUCUUUUCCCACUCAUGCUCUCAAUUUCUCUCUCACACAUAAAUAAAUAAAAUCUUAGAGAGAGAGAGAGAGAAAGAAAGAAAAAGUCCAGGAUGAAAACGUAUGUCUGAACUAAGCUGAGAUCCUCACCCAGCUGCCAGCUAAAUGUAGCUACAAGUGUGAACCCAGUAGAUCAACAGAAGAACUGCCCAGUGAACUCACAGAAUAAAGAUAUUGUUGUAGUUUUAAGACUCUUAAUUAUUAGGGUGAUCUAUUAUACAAGAAUAGAUAACUUAAUACAAACUUAGGAGGGGGACUAUUUCUGUCUCAAUUUCAAUAGCCAAAUAAACUCACAUUCCAAAAAGUCAAGAAACUCACUCACAUUCACAAAACUAGAGGCAGGGCUAGGUUCUGAACCAUGCCUUUGACAACAAGUCAAGGGUACUUUUCAUUUCAUCAGCACUACCUUGUCCAUCUGCCACAAAAAUGCCAGUCAAGAUGUAGGGUUGAUGUAGAUAGGAGCCACCCCCAGUAACCAUAACAAAUGGUAUUAUGCUACGUAAUUCAUUCCUUGAACUUCUUUGCAGUCUGAAUGUACACUGCAUCCUAUGUGAGAACUCUAUUUACUCCAUGCUACAGUCACGAAGAUCUCCCCAGGAAGUGGGGUGAUCAUAA